UUGACCUCGGAUCAGGUAGGAAUACGCGCUGAACUUAAGCAUAUCAAUAAGCGCAGGAAAAGAAACCAACAGGGAUUGCCUCAGUAACGGCGAGUGAAGCGGCAACAGCUCAAAUUUGAAAUCUGGCCUCUUGGGGUCCGAGUUGUAAUUUGUAGAGGAUGUUUUGGGUACCGCCCCGGUUUAAAUUUCUUGGAACAGAAUGUCAGAGAGGGUGAGAAUCCCGUCUUGGACCGGUGGUAGGGCCUGUGUAAAACUCCUUCGACGAGUCGAGUUGUUUGGGAAUGCAGCUCAAAAUGGGUGGUAAAUUUCAUCUAAAGCUAAAUAUUGGCCAGAGACCGAUAGCGCACAAGUAGAGUGAUCGAAAGAUGAAAAGCACUUUGAAAAGAGAGUUAAACAGUAUGUGAAAUUGUUGAAAGGGAAGCGCUUACAACCAGACUUGCGCGCGGCGGUUCCCCUUGCCUUUUGGUUAGGCUACUCCGCCGCGUCCAGGCCAACAUCGGUUUCGGGGGCCAGUUAAAGGCCCUGGGAAUGUACCUACCCACGGGUAGACUUAUAGACCAGGGUGCCAUGUGGCCUUCCGGGACCGAGGAACGCGCUUCGGCUCGGAUGUUGGCGUAAUGGUUGUCAGCGACCCGUCUUGAAACACGGACCAAGGAGUCUAACAUCUAUGCGAGUGUUUGGGUGUCAAACCCGGAACGCGGAAUGAAAGUGAACGGAGGUAGGAAGCUUCGGCUGCACUAUCGACCGAUCCUGAAGUUUACGGAUGGAUUUGAGUAAGAGCAUAGCUGUUGGGACCCGAAAGAUGGUGAACUAUGCCUGAAUAGGGUGAAGCCAGAGGAAACUCUGGUGGAGGCUCGCAGCGGUUCUGACGUGCAAAUCGAUCGUCAAAUUUGGGUAUAGGGGCGAAAGACUAAUCGAAC
This 920-nucleotide ribosomal RNA is filed under the name Chaetothyriales sp. CN-Cre-Bo3-5. Its description in RNAcentral is "eukaryotic LSU rRNA". It matches the Rfam family "Eukaryotic large subunit ribosomal RNA", at positions 1 to 940 of the family's 3401-position model. The record is from RNAcentral. Lineage: Eukaryota; Fungi; Ascomycota; Eurotiomycetes; Chaetothyriales.